ACUGCCUGCCCAGUGACAACCGUUAAACGGCCGCGGUAUCCUGACCGUGCAAAGGUAGCAUAAUCACUUGUUCUCUAAAUAAGGACUUGUAUGAAUGGCCACACGAGGGUUUUACUGUCUCUUACUUCCAAUCAGUGAAAUUGACCUUCCCGUGAAGAGGCGGGAAUAUAUUAAUAAGACGAGAAGACCCUAUGGAGCUUUAACUACUUAGCCCAAAGAAACAAAAUUUAUUUCUAAGGAAACAACAACAUUCUCUAUGGGCUAACAGCUUUGGUUGGGGUGACCUCGGAGAACAAAAAAUCCUCCGAGCGAUUUUAAAGACUAGACCCACAAGUCAAAUCACAUAAUCGCUUAUUGAUCCAAAUAAUUGAUCAACGGAACAAGUUACCCUAGGGAUAACAGCGCAAUCCUAUUCAAGAGUCCAUAUCGACAAUAGGGUUUACGACCUCGAUGUUGGAUCAGGACAUCCCGAUGGUGCAACCGCUAUCAAAGGUU
This 495-nucleotide ribosomal RNA is filed under the name Muntiacus reevesi (Reeves' muntjac). RNAcentral's name for it is "partial 16S ribosomal RNA". It matches the Rfam family "Bacterial large subunit ribosomal RNA", at positions 1854 to 2573 of the family's 2925-position model. The record is from RNAcentral. Lineage: Eukaryota; Metazoa; Chordata; Mammalia; Artiodactyla; Cervidae.